This 271-nucleotide long non-coding RNA is filed under the name Vombatus ursinus (common wombat). Its description in RNAcentral is "lncRNA (ENSVURG00010008275.1)". The record is from RNAcentral. Lineage: Eukaryota; Metazoa; Chordata; Mammalia; Diprotodontia; Vombatidae.
GACCCACAAACCCUUUUGUUCUUGUUCUCCAUUGGGAGAGGAAGUAAAGAUUUGCCAUCUGAGGAUGGUUCCUUUCUCCAGGAGGGCACCAUAAGAAGAGAGGGCAGAGCCCUGACAUCUGGGUCAUAGGCAAGUUGAUCUUUGGUUUUAUAUAAAUACCAUCUGGGGUGUUGGACUGUGUUGUUUAAAAAGUUUGAGAUAAAUCAUUUCUGGGUAAUUUAAUCAUUUUAUUAAUAAUGCCAGCAUUUUAAUAAAAAGAUAGUCAUUUGGC